Molecule: long non-coding RNA, 348 nt
Filed under: Carica papaya (papaya)
Lineage: Eukaryota; Viridiplantae; Streptophyta; Magnoliopsida; Brassicales; Caricaceae
Description: long non-coding RNA (CPAP_LNC003878)
Source: RNAcentral
AUGGGAUGGAAAGGGUCCCUAUUAUAAAAAAUGGCGAUUGUUAGAUUUGUGCCAAGUGGCAAAAUCUGGUGAGGAGAGAGAAAAUUAAUCGAAAAGGAGUGAUGUGAUGCGACGCAAUGACAAUUCAAAAAAUGGAGGCACACUUCCUAAAGAAUGACGGUACACCGUUAAACCAGCGACACACACUGCCCAAGGCAGAGCACGGUGCCUCAAGGGGGCGGUGCACAUAGCCCAAGGCAGCAACACGCCUCCCCAAUCGACCGCACGGUACAAGCCUAGCCUGCAGGCGCACCAACCUAUCCUUCCAUGUGCAGCGCUAGCCUGCACGUAGGCCCAUGCCUGCAAGCC